UGUAAGAACCCAAAAUUUUCCAUUUUAAACAUAAAUAGAAUUUUAAAGUAGAUCCUACCUCAGUUUUCAAAAACGUUUUCUCUCUCUAGAAGUAAAUCCCUUUCCUAAAGUUCUGCCUUCUCUCUAAGCUUUUUCAUCACUAAGUUGUUUGUUCAACAAUCAGGAAGCUCAUAGGUGUUCCUGGCAUUGAGAGCUCUGAUUGUCACCGAUCAGUUUUUCGAUCCUCCACCGGUAAGUGAUUCUCUCCUUUCUUUCAUGAUUCUUUGGCAUGCAAACUGUUGCAUGUUCAUAGUGAUUUUCCAUUUUCAAUUCCCAGCUUAAAUUAGGUUCUAAGAANUAUUCCCUGUCACAAGUUUGUAGGUUUCCAUAGAACUUUUGUGAGACGCAAGUUCAAUCUGGGUUUUGGCAAGACUGUAGACUGUUUUGAGGUAAGGGAAGCUAGGUUCUAAAUUCUUGUUUGAACAAUAUUUACGUCCUUGUUUGAUCUUUAGGUAGAAUUAUUACAAUUUGAUGCAUGUAUAAAUUGGGUGAAAAAUGCUUUACUUUUGAACUGGAUGUAAAAGAACAUGUGCUGAAAUUUAUGUUUUAUGGCUUNUGUUUGAUAUGAACUGAUAAGUGAGCAAUUGUGAAUUGUAUGACUAUGUAUAUGAUGUGAAUUUUAUUGUUUAAGAGUGAGGAUUCAGUUUUCUGCAGAUUGUGAGUAAAUGGCUAAGUCAAUUUCAGCAUUUGAGUCAAAUUAGGGAACUUGAGUAGUGAAUUUGAGAAUUAUAGGUUAGACUUAGGUUUAGGCUAUUGC
Molecule: long non-coding RNA, 796 nt
Filed under: Vigna radiata
Lineage: Eukaryota; Viridiplantae; Streptophyta; Magnoliopsida; Fabales; Fabaceae
Description: long non-coding RNA (VRAD_LNC007524)
Source: RNAcentral